CCCCUAGAUGUUCUGGGCCGCACGCGCGCUACACUGAACAGUUCAACAAGUCUUAACCUUGGCCGAUAGGUCUGGGUAAUCUUUGAACGCUGUUCGUGAUUGGGAUAGACCUUUGCAAUUAUGGGUCUUCAACGAGGAAUUCCUAGUAAACGCAAGUCAUCAGCUUGCAUUGAUUACGUCCCUGCCCUUUGUACACACCGCCCGUCGCACCUAUCGAUUGAGUGAUCCGGUGAAUAAUUCGGACUGCAGCAGUGCAUGGUCCUCCGGGCUUUGCAGCGGAAAGUUUAGUGAACCUUAUCACUUAGAGGAAGGAGAANUCGUANCA
RNAcentral lists this ribosomal RNA (325 nucleotides) under uncultured eukaryote. RNAcentral describes it as "partial 18S ribosomal RNA". It matches the Rfam family "Eukaryotic small subunit ribosomal RNA", at positions 1470 to 1796 of the family's 1831-position model. The record is from RNAcentral.